Molecule: ribosomal RNA, 468 nt
Filed under: uncultured bacterium
Lineage: Bacteria
Description: partial 16S ribosomal RNA
Rfam family: Bacterial small subunit ribosomal RNA
Source: RNAcentral
GACGAACGCUGGCGGCGUGCUUAACACAUGCAAGUCGAACGGAAAGGCCCUGCUUUUGUGGGGUGCUCGAGUGGCGAACGGGUGAGUAACACGUGAGUAACCUGCCCUUGACUUUGGGAUAACUUCAGGAAACUGGGGCUAAUACCGGAUAGGAGCUCCUGCUGCAUGGUGGGGGUUGGAAAGUUUCGGCGGUUGGGGAUGGACUCGCGGCUUAUCAGCUUGUUGGUUGGGUAGUGGCUUACCCAGGCUUUGAAGGGUAGCCCGCCUGGGAGGGUGACCGGCCACAUUGGGACUGAGGUACGGCCCAGACUCCUACGGGAGGCAGUGGUGGGAAGUAUUGCACAAUGGGCGGAAGCCUGAUGCAGAAACGCCGCGUGCGGGAUGACGGCCUUCGGGUUGUAAACCGCUUCCGCCUGUGACGAAGCGUGAGUGACGGUAAUGGGUAAAGAAGCACCGGCUAACUACGUG